AGUCAAGUAAUUAAGUGCAUGUGGUGGAUGCCUUGGCAGUCAGAGGCGAUGAAAGACGUGAUAGCCUGCGAAAAGCUCCGGGGAGGCGGCAAAUAUCCUUUGAUCCGGAGAUGUCUGAAUGGGGGAACCCACCUACUUUAAGGUAGGUAUUGCAACAUGAAUACAUAGUGUUGCAAGGCGAACGAGGGGAAGUGAAACAUCUCAGUACCCUUAGGAAAAGAAAUCAAUUGAGAUUCCCUCAGUAGCGGCGAGCGAACGGGGAUCAGCCCAUUAAGUUAUGUGUGUUUUAGUGGAACGCUCUGGGAAGUGCGAACGUAGAGGGUGAUAUUCCCGUACACGAAAGGGCACACAUAAUGAUGACGAGUAGGGCGAGGCACGUGAAACCUUGUCUGAAUAUGGGGGGACCAUCCUCCAAGGCUAAAUACUCCUGACUGACCGAUAGUGAACCAGUACCGUGAGGGAAAGGCGAAAAGAACCCCUGUGAGGGGAGUGAAAUAGAUCCUGAAACCGCAUGCAUACAAGCAGUGGGAGCACCUUCGUGGUGUGACUGCGUACCUUUUGUAUAAUGGGUCAGCGACUUAUAUUCAGUAGCGAGGUUAACCGUAUAGGGGAGCCGUAGAGAAAUCGAGUCUUAAUAGGGCGUUUAGUUGCUGGGUAUAGACCCGAAACCAGGCGAUCUAUCCAUGAGCAGGUUGAAGGUUGGGUAACACUAACUGGAGGACCGAACCCACUGUCGUUGAAAAGCCAGGGGAUGACUUGUGGAUAGGGGUGAAAGGCUAAUCAAGCCUGGUGAUAGCUGGUUCUCCCCGAAAGCUAUUUAGGUAGCGCCUCGGACGAAUACCAUAGGGGGUAGAGCACUGUUUCGGCUAGGGGGUCAUCCCGACUUACCAAACCGAUGCAAACUCCGAAUACCUAUGAGUACUAUCCGGGAGACAGACUGCGGGUGCUAACGUCCGUAGUCAAGAGGAAAACAAUCCAGACCGCCAGCUAAGGCCCCAAAAUCAUAGUUAAGUGGGAAACGAUGUGGGAAGGCAUAGACAGCUAGGAGGUUGGCUUAGAAGCAGCCACCCUUUAAAGAAAGCGUAAUAGCUCACUAGUCGAGUCGGCCUGCGCGGAAGAUGUAACGGGGCUAAAACUAUGUGCCGAAGCUGCGGAUGUAUACUUUGUAUACGUGGUAGGGGAGCGUUCUGUAAGCCGAUGAAGGUGUGUUGAGAAGCAUGCUGGAGGUAUCAGAAGUGCGAAUGCUGACGUGAGUAACGACAAAACGGGUGAAAAACCCGUUCGCCGAAAGACCAAGGGUUCCAGUCCAACGUUAAUCGGGGCUGGGUGAGUCGACCCCUAAGGCGAGGCCGAAAGGCGUAGUCGAUGGGAAAAUGGUUAAUAUUCCAUUACUUCUGUGUAAUGCGAUGAGAGGAUGGAGAAGGCUAAAUCAGCCUGGCGUUGGUUGUCCAGGUGAAAGGAUGUAGGCAUGUAUCUUAGGCAAAUCCGGGGUACUCUAUGCUGAGAUCUGAUAGCAAGCUGUACUUGUAC
Molecule: ribosomal RNA, 1530 nt
Filed under: Acinetobacter baumannii
Lineage: Bacteria; Pseudomonadati; Pseudomonadota; Gammaproteobacteria; Moraxellales; Moraxellaceae
Description: partial 23S ribosomal RNA
Rfam family: Bacterial large subunit ribosomal RNA
Source: RNAcentral